This 253-nucleotide ribosomal RNA is filed under the name uncultured bacterium. RNAcentral describes it as "partial 16S ribosomal RNA". It matches the Rfam family "Bacterial small subunit ribosomal RNA", at positions 524 to 776 of the family's 1533-position model. The record is from RNAcentral.
UACAGGGGGUGCAAACGUUGCUCGGAAUCAUUGGGCGUAAAGCGCACGUAGGCGGUCUGUUAUGUCGGCUGUGAAAUCCCGAGGCUCAACCUCGGGUCUGCAGUCGAUACGAGCAAACUAGAGUGUUGCAGGGGAGACUGGAAUUCCUGGUGUAGCGGUGAAAUGCGCAGAUAUCAGGAGGAACACCGGUGGCGAAGGCGGGUCUCUGGGCCGAUACUGACGCUGAGGAGCGAAAGCGUGGGGAGCAAACAGG